CAAACGGAGGACCUCAUCUGUUAGCACCCUCAUGUCAGCACACAAACGAGAAUUUAAAGAUCCUAAUUAAACCCGGGCUCAAAAUAUCUUCCUGAGUAGACCAGAAAGCACCAGUUUCACAAAAAAACAGAAAUAUGCAUCUUCCCAAUGUGGUUUUUAGUUUAUUUUCUGUGUUUUAAUGGUAUUCAAAUUUGAAGUUGAUUGCUAAAGCAGUAACUACCGUUAAUGUGUGUAAACAGAUUUGUGGAUAUUUAACGAUUUAGGAAACUGUGGAUGACUACUUUACAUAAUCAACAGGUAGACAGACAGAUGUCAGCACACACAACCGUCAACCCUCAGUUGCUCAAGGCUGAAUGUGGGAUCUCUCAUCUCAGGCUUGUUUGAAAUCCUCAAUUAGUGAAAAGCCCUUGGAAGGCACCUCUAACAUUGUGGUCAGGAGCCCAGAUUUUGGAGCUAGAAUUUAAACAUAGGGAUAGGGAUUUCAUUCCAAGCCUCCCACCAACUGCCUGAGCCUGUGUCAGCGAGCCAGCCCACCUCUCUGUGCUGAUUGUCUCAUCCGUGCGGUGGGGGUGUGAACACCUGGUCCCGGGGACCCCAGCAUCUGGCUUCAAUGUCGAUGUCCUUCCGCCGACCAGGAGGGAGGCCCUUCUCCACUCUGCUGCAGGCGUGGGUCACCUGUGAGUCCCUGCAGGCCUCCACUUUCUGCUGGAGGUGCCCGUGAGCUGGACCAUGGCUGGGGCUGAUUCAUAAAAUAAACAGCAACAUGCAGAGGACAGAAUCCACUUGUCAGACAUGGGGGAAAAGGUAGUCAGCUCCUGACCUUGCAAAGCCUCAGGCACCAAGAGAGACUCAGCCUCGUAUGACUCAGUCCCUGCUUUUACUCUAUACAGAUCCUUCAUUUUAAAGCCGUAUUUUCUUCAUUUUCCCUAGAUGGAUUCUUGACUGUAACUAAUUAUGUCGGAUUAAAACAUGCUAACAACAC
RNAcentral lists this small RNA (982 nucleotides) under Pan troglodytes (chimpanzee). Its description in RNAcentral is "sense intronic". Lineage: Eukaryota; Metazoa; Chordata; Mammalia; Primates; Hominidae. The record is from RNAcentral.